GCCUGCCCGGUGACCCUGGGUUAAACGGCCGCGGUAUUUUAACCGUGCGAAGGUAGCGCAAUCACUUGUCCUUUAAAUGAAGACCUGUAUGAAUGGCUAGACGAGGGCUUAGCUGUCUCCUCCCCCCGGUCAAUGAAAUUGAUCUCCCCGUGCAGAAGCGGGGAUGCUAACAUAAGACGAGAAGACCCUAUGGAGCUUUAGACACUAGACAGCCUACGUUAAACUUCCCCUCUAAUAGGGAAAAAACAUUGUGGCUCCUGUCUCUCCUGUCUUCGGUUGGGGCGACCGCGGAGGAUAAAAGAGCCUCCAUGUGGACCGAGGUUACUAAUCUCACAGCUAAGAGCUGCAGCUCCAAGCACCAGAAAUUCUGACCAAAAUGAUCCGGCACACUGCCGAUUAACGGAACAAGUUACCCUAGGGAUAACAGCGCAAUCCUCUCCCAGAGUCCCUAUCGACGAGGGGGUUUACGACCUCGAUGUUGGAUCAGGACAUCCUAUUGGUGCAGCCGCUAAUAAGGGUUCGUUUGUUCAACGAUUAAAGUCCU
RNAcentral lists this ribosomal RNA (544 nucleotides) under Hypomesus japonicus. Its description in RNAcentral is "partial 16S ribosomal RNA". It matches the Rfam family "Bacterial large subunit ribosomal RNA", at positions 1857 to 2597 of the family's 2925-position model. The record is from RNAcentral. Lineage: Eukaryota; Metazoa; Chordata; Actinopteri; Osmeriformes; Osmeridae.